CGUGUAGGCGGACUCGCAAGUCGGUUGUGAAAUCCCUGGGCUUAACCUAGGAACUGCAUCCGAAACUGCUUGUCUUGAGUAAUGGAGAGGGUGGCGGAAUUCCCGGUGUAGAGGUGAAAUUCGUAGAUAUCGGGAGGAACGUCAGUGGCGAAGGCGGCCACCUGGACAUUUACUGACGCUGAGACGCGAAAGCGUGGGGAGCAAACAGGAUUAGAUACCCUGGUAGUCC
This 229-nucleotide ribosomal RNA is filed under the name uncultured bacterium. Its description in RNAcentral is "partial 16S ribosomal RNA". It matches the Rfam family "Bacterial small subunit ribosomal RNA", at positions 568 to 796 of the family's 1533-position model. The record is from RNAcentral.